ACUCAUUUAGUAUAUUAAUAUAGUGAUUUUAGGGGUCAAAGAAUGAAGUUGUAUUCUUCAAUUGAGUG
RNAcentral lists this transfer RNA (68 nucleotides) under Branchiostoma lanceolatum (amphioxus). RNAcentral's name for it is "tRNA-Leu". The record is from RNAcentral. Lineage: Eukaryota; Metazoa; Chordata; Leptocardii; Amphioxiformes; Branchiostomatidae.